Monodelphis domestica (gray short-tailed opossum) is the source of this 1140-nucleotide non-coding RNA. Lineage: Eukaryota; Metazoa; Chordata; Mammalia; Didelphimorphia; Didelphidae. The record is from RefSeq and is a predicted model, not a curated record.
UCCAAAGAACAAUCUUUUCCCCUGGGCUGAGGAGUAACCUUAGGUCUUAAGGGGAAGAAGUGGCAGUUAAGGUACUGGAAGAAUCCAGAGGCAGGAAAGUCUAUCUAUCCUGCCUCUCAAUAAUAGCUGAGACCAAGAAGGGAAGCAGUGAAUCCUUUCAUUGAAGCUCUUGGCUCCAAGUUAACUACCACUUUAUAGACCCACUCUCUGAAGAGACAUAUUCAGACCCUCAAGGAGACAAAACUGGAUUACUGUUCCCAAGAAGAAGAAAGGGGAAGGUCAACCUCUUCUCCUCCACAUUCCUUCAACUCUUUCUCUCCCUCUCUCCAGUUCCCCAGUAUAGGUGGGUAUGACCCUCCUUUUGGGCUAUAUAUUACAAAUCUUUGGCUUGGAGCUUCUGUUGCUGACUUGCUUCUUGGAGGUGGCUUUGGACUUGAACCUCUGCUUCGACUUGGGACCUUGGCUCUUAGACUGUGUCAUGGAGAACUGCUCCUGGAUCUUCUCCUUUGGACUAUGUCUUGGGUACCCAGCAGUGGUCAUGGCUUCAAUCUAGAGUCUGGCCCAUCCUGAUGAGAUUUCUCAGAACCCAGAACAGUGAAAGGAGUCCAAAAGAGAGAGUUAUGGAGGAGCCAAAGGGGUGGGUUUUAAAGCUAUCCAACUGGCUUUGGAGGAGAGCUAAAAACCAUUUGAAAGGACAAGUUCAACGUACAGACUGAAGGGAUGCUUCCUGAUCUCUCCAGCUGAAAGUGCUCUUUCCCUCCUCAAAUUUUCCAAGAAUUCUUUGUCUGGGUAAUAAUAAUAACCAAUAUGUGUAGAGCACUUUACACAAUAACUUCAGCUGAUGUCAUGGCAAACUUCUGAAGUGUGUUCUGGUUUUAGUCCCAUUUCAGAGAUGAGCACAACCGAGACUCAGAAAUGAAAAAAUGACUUGUCCAAGGCCCUACGGGUGUUCCGUGACAGAGUUAGAAUUUAGACCAUGUCCCAUUUUAGCCCAACAUCCAGGGACCUAAAUCUUAAACCUGGAUUUACAUGCUGGUUCUGACUUUUGGUGCCUCGGUGAUCUUCAUGUCUCACUCCAGUUUUUCCCCCUGUAAAAUGUGAAGUUUGGACUUGGCUAAUAAAGGCUCCUCCCAACUCUGA